CUUUAGCAUGGUUUCAAGUGCAACCUUGAAAAUUGGUUUCUUACAGCAUUUUGUGGGGCACAAGCUGGGAGCUGAGAGCAACAAACUCCUUUGGUCAUGAGACAAGCUUCACUUCACUCCUGUUGUUUCCAGUCACCACAGAAACCAAAGUGAAGGGGUGGACAUAUGGAUGCUUGGAUACCUGUCCAAUACAGCAUCAAGAUAGAGCUGAAGCUUAUACCCAGACCUGGUUAACUCACUUUAUGGUUCUCAUGACCUGAAUCAAAAAAUAGCUUUAAGAUGGCUGAAUGGAUACUCAUCUAGUGAAUUGUUUUCUAUAAUAUUAUGAUAAUGAAUUGAAUCAUGAAAAACAAUAAUAAAACAUCUCCAUAUUGCAUCCAUGGAGAUUCACUAGGGUGAAUUACACUAAAUGGAUUUUUAUGUGGAAUGGGUGUCUUUUCCAAAGUUCAACGAGAGUCAAGACUACAUCCGUACAUGUUUAGGAGCCAAAAAUUGUCUUUGUUGGGUUGGAUAUCUUCCUCUUUAGAAGAACCUUUCUGUCAGAGAAACAGAAGACAGCUUUCUCCUGCCUUCCUGAAAAGUCCUGCAUGGAAUAGACUCCUGCAGGGCUGUAGCUGCUCCUCACUCUGCAGAUGUUUGUCCCAUUACUGUUCACAGGAGUUAAAUAUACACAGAUAUAUAAGAGAGACUUGACCAUCUACUCUCAACAUUCCAAGGUCAGUUGAAGUCAGGACCUUUUACUUUAUGCUCCACCAAGAGAGAACAAAACUUAUGCAAGACUUCCUCAGGGAGCACUGGGUCUGAGGUUUUUCACAGUGCACAGGGCUAAAAUUCAAAUAUGAAGCACAGCUGUUUGGACAGGAAUCUUGGACCUCUUUGUUUUGAACUACAGUGACCCACUCAGCCUCACCAACACAUGAAACUGAAAUUCCUGCACAGCUAAUGACUGGGAUGUGAAAUUGCCU
RNAcentral lists this long non-coding RNA (965 nucleotides) under Chloebia gouldiae (Gouldian finch). Its description in RNAcentral is "Erythrura gouldiae (Gouldian finch) lncRNA (ENSEGOG00005013452.1)". The record is from RNAcentral. Lineage: Eukaryota; Metazoa; Chordata; Aves; Passeriformes; Passeridae.